This 1563-nucleotide ribosomal RNA is filed under the name Enterobacter cloacae complex sp. P32C. RNAcentral's name for it is "partial 23S ribosomal RNA". It matches the Rfam family "Bacterial large subunit ribosomal RNA", at positions 1 to 1607 of the family's 2925-position model. Lineage: Bacteria; Pseudomonadati; Pseudomonadota; Gammaproteobacteria; Enterobacterales; Enterobacteriaceae. The record is from RNAcentral.
GGUUAAGCGACUAAGCGUACACGGUGGAUGCCCUGGCAGUCAGAGGCGAUGAAGGACGUGCUAAUCUGCGAAAAGCGACGGCGAGGUGAUAUGAACCUUUGACCCGUCGAUGUCCGAAUGGGGAAACCCAGUGUGAUCCGUCACACUAUCGUUAACUGAAUACAUAGGUUAACGAGGCGAACCGGGGGAACUGAAACAUCUAAGUACCCCGAGGAAAAGAAAUCAACCGAGAUUCCCCCAGUAGCGGCGAGCGAACGGGGAGCAGCCCGGAGUCUGAAUCAGCUUGUGUGUUAGUGGAAGCGUCUGGAAAGUCGCACGGUACAGGGUGACAGUCCCGUACACGAAAAUGCACAGGUUGUGAACUCGAAGAGUAGGGCGGGACACGUGGUAUCCUGUCUGAAUAUGGGGGGACCAUCCUCCAAGGCUAAAUACUCCUGACUGACCGAUAGUGAACCAGUACCGUGAGGGAAAGGCGAAAAGAACCCCGGCGAGGGGAGUGAAAAAGAACCUGAAACCGUGUACGUACAAGCAGUGGGAGCACCUUCGUGGUGUGACUGCGUACCUUUUGUAUAAUGGGUCAGCGACUUAUAUUCUGUAGCAAGGUUAACCGUAUAGGGGAGCCGCAGGGAAACCGAGUCUUAACUGGGCGUUAAGUUGCAGGGUAUAGACCCGAAACCCGGUGAUCUAGCCAUGGGCAGGUUGAAGGUUGGGUAACACUAACUGGAGGACCGAACCGACUAAUGUUGAAAAAUUAGCGGAUGACCUGUGGCUGGGGGUGAAAGGCCAAUCAAACCGGGAGAUAGCUGGUUCUCCCCGAAAGCUAUUUAGGUAGCGCCUCGUGAACUCAUCUUCGGGGGUAGAGCACUGUUUCGGCUAGGGGGCCAUCCCGGCUUACCAACCCGAUGCAAACUACGAAUACCGAAGAAUGUUAUCACGGGAGACACACGGCGGGUGCUAACGUCCGUCGUGAAGAGGGAAACAACCCAGACCGCCAGCUAAGGUCCCAAAGUCAUGGUUAAGUGGGAAACGAUGUGGGAAGGCACAGACAGCCAGGAUGUUGGCUUAGAAGCAGCCAUCAUUUAAAGAAAGCGUAAUAGCUCACUGGUCGAGUCGGCCUGCGCGGAAGAUGUAACGGGGCUAAACCAUGCACCGAAGCUGCGGCAGCGACGCUUAUGCGUUGUUGGGUAGGGGAGCGUUCUGUAAGCCGUCGAAGGUGUGCUGUGAGGCAUGCUGGAGGUAUCAGAAGUGCGAAUGCUGACAUAAGUAACGAUAAAGCGGGUGAAAAGCCCGCUCGCCGGAAGACCAAGGGUUCCUGUCCAACGUUAAUCGGGGCAGGGUGAGUCGACCCCUAAGGCGAGGCCGAAAGGCGUAGUCGAUGGGAAACAGGUUAAUAUUCCUGUACUUGGUGUUACUGCGAAGGGGGGACGGAGAAGGCUAUGUCAGCCGGGCGACGGUUGUCCCGGUUUAAGCGUGUAGGUGUCUGUUCCAGGCAAAUCCGGUUCACUUUAAAACUGACGCGUGAAGACGAGGCACUACGUAGAUGAAGUGAUAAAUUCCCUUCUU